RNAcentral lists this ribosomal RNA (459 nucleotides) under uncultured bacterium. Its description in RNAcentral is "partial 16S ribosomal RNA". It matches the Rfam family "Bacterial small subunit ribosomal RNA", at positions 338 to 795 of the family's 1533-position model. The record is from RNAcentral.
CCUACGGGGGGCUGCAGUGAGGAAUAUUGGUCAAUGGACGGAAGUCUGAACCAGCCAUGCCGCGUGCAGGAAGACGGCUCUAUGAGUUGUACACUGCUUUUGUACAAGGGUAAACCUGAAUACGUGUAUUCAUCUGAAAGUACUGUACGAAUAAGGAUCGGCUAACUCCGUGCCAGCAGCCGCGGUAAUACGGAGGAUCCAAGCGUUAUCCGGAUUUAUUGGGUUUAAAGGGUGCGUAGGGGGAUCGUUAAGUCAGUGGUAAAAUUGCGGGGCUAAACCCCUUCCCGCCAUUGAAACUGGCGUUCUUGAGUGGAAGAGAGGUAUGCGGAAUGAGUGGUGUAGCGGUGAAAUGCAUAGAUAUCACGCAGAACACCGAUUGCGAAGGCAGCAUGCCGGCUUCCGACUGACGCUGAAGCACGAAAGCGUGGGGAGCGAACAGGAUUAGAUACCCUUGUAGUC